UUGGCUGUUGGCAGAUGUCGAAAGUUGUGGUGCUAAUUCCAGCUAGCUGUGGUUCAUUAAAGCGUUUAUUUAUUUUCAGACUGAACAGAUUCUCAAUGAAUACAAGAUCAGAGCCUUGGCAUGCCACCCAGACAAGCAUCAAGGCAACCCCAAAGCAGUGGCAGAGUUUCAAAAACUACAGGAAGCCAAAGAGGUGUUAAGCAAUGACACGAAAA
This is a long non-coding RNA of Hippocampus comes (tiger tail seahorse), 215 nucleotides long. RefSeq lists it as uncharacterized. The record is from RefSeq and is a predicted model, not a curated record. The transcript is spliced from 2 exons. Lineage: Eukaryota; Metazoa; Chordata; Actinopteri; Syngnathiformes; Syngnathidae.